Molecule: ribosomal RNA, 497 nt
Filed under: uncultured bacterium
Lineage: Bacteria
Description: partial 16S ribosomal RNA
Rfam family: Bacterial small subunit ribosomal RNA
Source: RNAcentral
GAUGAACGCUGGCGGCGUGCCUAAUACAUGCAAGUCGAGCGAACAGACGAGGAGCUUGCUCCUCUGACGUUAGCGGCGGACGGGUGAGUAACACGUGGAUAACCUACCUAUAAGACUGGGAUAACUUCGGGAAACCGGAGCUAAUACCGGAUAAUAUAUUGAACCGCAUGGUUCAAUAGUGAAAGACGGUUUUGCUGUCACUUAUAGAUGGAUCCGCGCCGCAUUAGCUAGUUGGUAAGGUAACGGCUUACCAAGGCAACGAUGCGUAGCCGACCUGAGAGGGGGAGCGGCGACACUGGAGCUGAGACACGGUCCAGACUCCGACGGGAGGCAGCAGUAGGGAAUCUUCCGAAAUGGGCGAAAGCAUGACGGAGCAACGCCGCGGGAGAGAUGAAGGUCUUAGGAUCGUAAAACUCUGUUAUUAGGGAAGAACAAAUGGGUAAGUAACUAUGCACGUCUGGACGGUACCUAAUCAGAAAGACACGGCUAACUACGUG